RNAcentral lists this ribosomal RNA (274 nucleotides) under uncultured bacterium. RNAcentral describes it as "partial 16S ribosomal RNA". It matches the Rfam family "Bacterial small subunit ribosomal RNA", at positions 523 to 796 of the family's 1533-position model. The record is from RNAcentral.
AUACGGAGGGUGCAAGCGUUAAUCGGAAUUACUGGGCGUAAAGGGUUCGUAGGCGGUUAUUUAAGUCAGAUGUGAAAGCCCCGGGCUCAACCUGGGAAUUGCAUCUGAUACUGGGUAACUAGAGUUUAAGAGAGGAGUGUGGAAUUUCCGGUGUAGCGGUGAAAUGCAUAGAGAUCGGAAGGAACAUCAGUGGCGAAGGCGGCACUCUGGCUUAAAACUGACGCUGAGGAACGAAAGCGUGGGUAGCAAACAGGAUUAGAAACCCCAGUAGUCC